This 433-nucleotide ribosomal RNA is filed under the name uncultured bacterium. Its description in RNAcentral is "partial 16S ribosomal RNA". It matches the Rfam family "Bacterial small subunit ribosomal RNA", at positions 29 to 507 of the family's 1533-position model. The record is from RNAcentral.
AACGAACGCUGGCGGCAUGCCUAACACAUGCAAGUCGAACGAGACCUUCGGGUCUAGUGGCGCACGGGUGCGUAACGCGUGGGAACCUGCCCUUAGGUUCGGAAUAACUCCCCGACAGGGGUGCUAAUACCGGAUAAUGUCUUCGGACCAAAGAUUUAUCGCCUUUGGAUGGGCCCGCGUUGGAUUAGCUAGUUGGUAGGGUAAAAGCCUACCAAGGCGACGAUCCAUAGCUGGUCUGAGAGGAUGAUCAGCCACACUGGGACUGAGACACGGCCCAGACUCUUACGGGAGGCAGCAGUGGGUGAUAUUGGAAAAUGGGGGGAAGCCUGAUCCAGCAAUGCCGCGUGAGUGAUGAAGGCCUUAGGGUUGUAAAGCUCUUUUACCCGGGAUGAUAAUGACAGUACCGGGAGAAUAAGCUCCGGCUAACUCCGUG